GUGCCCCGCCCCUCCUCCCUCUCGUCCAAUCAGAUGCGAGGAAGCAGAAACCUCUUCCUGUUCCCUUCUCCCCUCUGCAGCGGCUCAGCUGACUGACAACCAUGCGGUUCCGUUUCUGUGGAGAUUUGGACUGUCCAGAUUGGGUACUUGCCGAAAUUAGCACUCUGGCAAAGAUUUCAAGUGUUAAAAUGAAACUCCUCUGUGGUCAAGUGCUGAAGGACUUGCUUGGGGAAGGCAUUGAUUAUGACAAGGUUGCAAAGCUCACUGCAGAUGCAAAGUUUGAGAGCGGAGACAUCAAAGCUAGUGUGGCAGUGCUCAGCUUCAUUUUCUCCAGUGCAGCAAAGCACGAUGUUGACAGUGAAUCAUUGUCCAGUGAGCUGCAGCAGCUCGGUCUGCCUAAAGAACAUACGACAGGGCUCUGCAAAUCAUAUGAAGACAAGCACUCUGUACUGCAAGACAGACUAAGAGAGACAAGCCUGAGACUUCUGCUCUGCAAUGAAUUUCAGUGGGAGGGCUGGACGCUGUGUGCUGGCGGGUCGACUACACUCUGAGUUCCAGUGAGCUGAGAGAGGUUAAUGAACCUGUGAUUCAGCUUAAACUGCAGACAAAAGGAGCAGAGUCAGACUCUGCAGAGACAACAGUUGUUUCUGUUUCUGCUGACAAGUUCAGAGUCUUGCUUGCAGAGCUCAAGCAGGCCCAGGCUAUGAUGAAUGCACUGCAGUAAAGAGUGGACAAUGAAGUCGGACACAAACAAAGCUGAUAGGCUGCCAAAAGUGCCAUACUUACAUCUUGUACAGUAUAAUUUUUGUAUGAACUUAAAGGUCAUGUGAAUGGCUCAGUCCUUUUCGGAUAGAUUGAAAGUUUAUUUUCUACAUCAGCAAUAAUUGGUGGAGCUGUUUCCAGACUGUGUGAUUCCUCACUGAAACAAGAAUACUGAGUGGACCAUUUUUGUAAAAUAUUGUAUAUAAUAAUUAACACGUUUUGAAUUAUGUUGAUAAUUUUUGUUUUACCUUCAUAUGCACAUGACAAAAUAAAGUCUAAAACAGAUA
This is an RNA transcript of Dicentrarchus labrax (European seabass), 1049 nucleotides long. It is a transcript of the gene named COMM domain containing 4, with no coding region annotated. The transcript has 8 exons. NCBI's taxonomy places the organism in Eukaryota, Metazoa, Chordata, Actinopteri, Moronidae. The record is from RefSeq and is a predicted model, not a curated record.